AUGCUUUGCUCCGGCCGCAUGCUAGCGUGCAGCGGCCUGAGCCCCGGGAGGCUCCGGCCGCCGCGCGCCUACGCUGACCGGCUGCGUCCCCCGCUCUCCGCCCGCAGGUGGCGGGUCGCCGCCUCCGCCGCGGCUCCCGGCGGCUCCCCCGACCUGCCGUCGUCGUCAUCGACGCCCCCGCCGUUUGGCGCCGGGGACGAACAGGCCGCGGCCGCUGCGGCCUCCUCCUCCUCAGGGUUUUGCAUCAUUGAAGGGCCUGAGACAGUUCAAGAUUUUGAUAAGCUAGAUUUGCAGGAGAUUCUUGAUAAUAUCAGGAGCCGCCGGAACAAGAUAUUCUUGCAUAUGGAGGAGAUUCGCAGAUUGAGAAUACAACAAAGAAUAAAAAAUGCUGAACUUGGAAUCUCAAAUGAAGAGCCUGAAGGAGAACUCCCAGAUUUUCCAUCAUUCAUACCCUUUUUGCCUCCCCUGAGUGCAGCUAAUCUGAAGGUCUACUAUGCUACAUGUUUCUCUCUCAUUGCUGCAAUAAUGGUCUUUGGUGGAUUUCUUGCACCAAUUCUGGAACUUAAACUUGGUAUAGGAGGCACAUCUUAUGCAGAUUUCAUCCGAAAUGUUCAUCUGCCUAUGCAACUGAGCCAGGUAGAUCCUAUUGUGGCAUCCUUCUCAGGUGGAGCAGUCGGAGUUAUCUCCGCCCUAAUGGUUGUUGAGAUAAACAAUGUCAAGCAACAGGAGCAUAAACGGUGCAAAUAUUGUUUAGGAACUGGGUAUCUGGCUUGUGCCCGCUGUUCAAGCACGGGAGCUGUUGUGCUUACUGAGCCUGUUUCAACAUUCAGUGAUGGUGAUCAACCUUUAUCAGCACCAAAAACCGAGAGAUGUCCAAACUGCUCUGGUGCUGGAAAGGUGAUGUGCCCCACAUGCCUCUGUACAGGGAUGGCAAUGGCAAGUGAGCAUGAUCCUCGAAUCGACCCCUUUGAUUAA
RNAcentral lists this ribosomal RNA (975 nucleotides) under Triticum aestivum (bread wheat). RNAcentral describes it as "partial small subunit ribosomal RNA". Lineage: Eukaryota; Viridiplantae; Streptophyta; Magnoliopsida; Poales; Poaceae. The record is from RNAcentral.